AAAUGAAUAGACGGGGGCCCGCACAAGCAGUGGAGUAUGUGGUUUAAUUCGAAGCAACGCGAAGAACCUUACCGGGGCUUGACAUGGCGUCGAAUGUCGUAGAGAUACGGCAGCCUCUUUGGGGCGGCGUCACAGGUGGUGCAUGGUUGUCGUCAGCUCGUGUCGUGAGAUGUUGGGUUAAGUCCCGCAACGAGCGCAACCCUUACCUUUAGUUGCUACAUUCAGUUGAGCACUCUAAAGGGACUGCCGUUGACAAAACGGAGGAAGGCGGGGAUGAGGUCAAAUCAUCAUGCCCUUUAUGUCCCGGGCUACACACGUACUACAAUGGCGUCUAACAGACCGAAGCGAAGCCGCGAGGCGGAGCAAACCGGAAAAAGGCGUCUCAGUUCAGAUUGCAGGCUGCAACUCGCCUGUAUGAAGGCGGAAUUGCUAGUAAUCGCGAGUCAGCAUAUCGCGGUGAAUACGUUCCCGGGCCUUGUACACACCGCCCGU
This 492-nucleotide ribosomal RNA is filed under the name uncultured bacterium. RNAcentral describes it as "bacterial SSU rRNA". It matches the Rfam family "Bacterial small subunit ribosomal RNA", at positions 903 to 1397 of the family's 1533-position model. The record is from RNAcentral.